RNAcentral lists this ribosomal RNA (274 nucleotides) under uncultured bacterium. Its description in RNAcentral is "partial 16S ribosomal RNA". It matches the Rfam family "Bacterial small subunit ribosomal RNA", at positions 523 to 796 of the family's 1533-position model. The record is from RNAcentral.
AUACAGAGGGUGCGAGCGUUAAUCGGAAUUACCGGGCGUAAAGCGCGCGUAGGCGGCUUGGUCAGUCGGAUGUGAAAGCCCCGGGCUCAACCUGGGAAUGGCAUUCGAUACUGCCAGGCUAGAGUAUGGGAGAGGGAAGUGGAAUUUCCGGUGUAGCGGUGAAAUGCGUAGAUAUCGGAAGGAACACCAGUGGCGAAGGCGACUUCCUGGCCCAAUACUGACGCUGAGGUGCGAAAGCGUGGGGAGCGAACAGGAUUAGAAACCCUAGUAGUCC